UUUGCCUUGCACCAUUGUGAUCAGUCUCCGUAUUCAGUUUAUUUAUAUUUACGUGAAUGGUUUAUUCAAAUUAAACUGAAGCUGAACUUGUGAACAUAAAUUAGAAGAAAAUAAUUAGAAGUUACUCAUUUUUUGAAUUCCAUUGAAUUAAAUUCGUUAGCACUGUCGAGGGGAUAAAAUCAUGUCGUUUAAGUUCUCUGAUCAAAGGUUGGAAUAUGAUGGCUCUGCAAACAGCGAGGUGAUUUUUACGCCAGAUAAAAAGGCGUACACAGAGGACAACAUAUUGAUUUACAAUAUUUUCGUAUACAACAUUCCAAGAAGGAUGAAGGACGCCGAUAUAACUUGUUAUUUUUCUAAGUUUGGCGUGAUUUCAGAAGUACGACUGGUGGAUGAUAAAAAGAGAUCUCGUCGUUCUUCGCCGACAGUAGGAUUUGUGAACUUUGUCGAACCAGAAAGUGCUUACAGAGUAUUGCAGAAAUUUAAUCAUCGUAUACGAGGUUCACGUAUUGGCGUUAAAGCUGGCAAUAGUUGGAAUCAGCCUGAUGGCGAAAAGGCAUGUAGCCAAGUGGUACUUGGAACCCAACAAAAGAAAGUUGAAGCUUCGAACUUUGAUACGAAAUUUACUGGUCUGAAUAUGCUAUCGUUAAAUGAUGAUUGCUUAGAUAUUAUUUGUGGCCUAUUAGUGCUACGAGAUCAAAUACGUUUUGCGCGAGUAUGUAAUCGUUUUCAAGAAAUAUUCAGAAUAUUAUCCAGGCGCGCAUAUAAAAGGUUUGAGUUUUGUAAACUCUUAGGGAUGACAUUAUGGGAGAUACGCGACUUCUUUCGUUUUGCCGGCGAAAAUAUUGAGGAAGUGACGGGCGAUGUACCAUAUAAGAAUCGUGAACGCAUCAUUACAUUUAUUAGAACGUGCUGCGUCAACUUAAAACGAAUCACAUUAUUCGAUAGUAAAAUGGAGACCGAUUGUUUGAAGAAAUUAUUUCGCAGCUUCCCUCUAUUACGGGAGUUACAUUUGCAUAGUUGCGGUAUAGAUGACCUCUCAAUACAAUCUCUCCAAUAUUUGACUCAAUUAGAGAGUCUGACACUCUCAGAGAACUAUGAGCUAACAGGCAAAUUUCUGAACUCGUUAGUACAGCUGAAGUAUCUAAAUUUGUAUGGUUGUAGAAAUAUUCAAACUUCCAAUUUGGUUGAAAUUUGCUGUUCCAUGCCGAACUUAAAAUCGCUUGAUAUACGUCGUUGUGAACGGCUAUCGCCAAUCUUUUUCGACACCAUGGCAGAACAUUGUCAGCAACUCGAAACAUUGAAAAUGUCUUGCCCAGAUUUUCCAUACGAGCAUGUAACAUUAUUACCUCGACUGAAACACAUUGAAUUGUUACUGCACACAUCUUUUUCGGUAUCACAUACACAGAUUUUUUUGAAAUUGGUCGAAAAUAAGUCACAGCAAUUAGAAAGCUUAAAAAUCUAUGGCAAAAAUUCAAUCAAUCCGCAAGAAAUAAGUUUCAUAUCAAAAUUGGAAAAACUGAAAUCAUUACAUUGCCCAAAUAAUCCAGCAAUCGACGAUAACGCGCUUCGAAAACUGUGCCAAUUAGAGCAACUUGAAGAGCUGGUUAUCAAAAACAGUGGCGAUAUAACAAAUGAAGCUCUGAUAAAGCUGUUGCAAAGUUGCAAGCGUCUGCGUCAUUUAAAUAUACAAUUUUGCAAAAAAAUUACUUGUGAAUUCGUUUUAGAAGCCAUAAAUAUAUUAAAAGACCGUAAAGACAGAUCUCAUCUUCCAUUCGUCCUUUUUGUAUAUGGAACAUCUAUAGAUAAAUAUGGAAUGUCCGAGUGUCAGAAAUACAUGAAGGCUGAGAAAGAGUCACUUAUCAAAAUAGUUUUCGAAAUAUUAACUGUUGAUAUAGGAAUUCCUGACAAAGAUAUUUACGACUUGUGGGAUAGCGAUGAUUGGUACGAUGAGGAAGGUGAUAUUCUUACCGAUGAGGAUGAUGAUUUCUACUUCCCAGACUCGGAUAUGGAAGAUUAUGAUCGCUUUUUCAAUGAAAUAGUUUAAGUUAAUUUCAUUUUAAACAAUUAUAAAACAAAAUUAUAAUAUAUAAGGAGUAGCGAUAAUACUUAAAAUAGUACGCUAUUCAGAAAACAAUUUAAUUUUUAUCAUAACUGGUGAGUGACGUCGAUGUUGAGCAGGCACCGAGCAGCUUAAUCAAUUUGUUCUUUACAUACUGUGUAUGUGGGACGAUAAAUAUAUAUUUAUAAUUUGUAUUAAGUCUUCGAACAUUUUUGCAACUCUAAUUUUGUUUGAAGUAAAUAUGAGAUGAAUGAAA
Anastrepha obliqua is the source of this 2315-nucleotide RNA transcript. It is a transcript of the gene named dynein regulatory complex subunit 6-like, with no coding region annotated. The record is from RefSeq and is a predicted model, not a curated record. The transcript is spliced from 6 exons. Lineage: Eukaryota; Metazoa; Arthropoda; Insecta; Diptera; Tephritidae.